UACGGGCGCACGCCUCGAUGUUGUGUCGUUACACGGUUUCGGCCGUUCGACGCGCACGGGCGACGUUCGUCGACGUCCGCCGACGGCGUGCACUUCUCUCUUAGUAAUGCAUCGCGACCCGUUCGCGGUCGGUCUAAGCGCCGUCCGGGAGUCCGACGGUGGACGUUUCGGCGUCCGCCUUCGUACCGUGACCGGUUGCCGGCCGGCCGUCGUUUUUUUUUAAACUAACGGACGGUAAAAAUGAUGGAAAUCGAAUACGCUUUAAAAAGCGAAUCGCGCACGCGUAUCACAACGCGUCCGGCCCGACGCAAGCCUACGUUCGUAGUCGAUUUCCUGCCACAGUGCGGACGUCGGCUCGACGUUGCUGUCGUCUAUAGCCGCCGUGCAGUCUCGGACUGUGCGCGUCUCCGUCUGCGAUGAUUCCGUUUCGGGCACUCGCAGGACCCGUCUUGAAACACGGACCAAGGAGUCUAGCAUGUGUGCGAGUCAUUGAGUUAGAGAUUCAAUUGACAAAACUGAAAGGCGCAACGAAAGUGAAGGCGCGCGCUUCCCGCGCGCGCUCAGGGAGGAUGGAGCCUCGGUCUAGAUCGAACUCUCGCACUCCCGAGGCGUCUCGUUUCCAAUCUGUGAAUGCGGGCGCGCUCCGAGCACAGAUGCUGGGACCCGAAAGAUGGUGAACUAUGCCUGGUCAGGUCGAAGUCAGGGGAAACCCUGAUGGAGGACCGUAGCGAUUCUGACGU
RNAcentral lists this ribosomal RNA (740 nucleotides) under Allotinus sarrastes. Its description in RNAcentral is "eukaryotic LSU rRNA". It matches the Rfam family "Eukaryotic large subunit ribosomal RNA", at positions 601 to 892 of the family's 3401-position model. Lineage: Eukaryota; Metazoa; Arthropoda; Insecta; Lepidoptera; Lycaenidae. The record is from RNAcentral.